GAUGAACGCUAGCUACAGGCUUAACACAUGCAAGUCGAGGGGAAACGACAUCGAAAGCUUGCUUUUGAUGGGCGUCGACCGGCGCACGGGUGAGUAACGCGUAUCCAACCUGCCCAUCACUUGGGAAUAACCUUGCGAAAGUAAGACUAAUACCCAAUGAUAUCCCACGAAGGCAUCGGAAUGGGAUCAAAGAUUUAUCGGUGAUGGAUGGGGAUGCGUCUGAUUAGCUUGUUGGCGGGGUAACGGCCCACCAAGGCAACGAUCAGUAGGGGUUCUGAGAGGAAGGUCCCCCACAUUGGAACUGAGACACGGUCCAAACGCCUACGGGAGGCAGCAGUGAGGAAUAUUGGUCAAUGGGGGAGAGCCUGGACCAGCCAAGUAGCGUGAAGGAAGCCGGCCCUAUGGGUUGUAAACUGCUUUUAUAAGGGAAUAAAGUGGGUCACGUGUGACUUUUUGCAUGUACCUUAUGAAUAAGGACCGGCUAAUUCCGUG
This 492-nucleotide ribosomal RNA is filed under the name uncultured bacterium. RNAcentral's name for it is "partial 16S ribosomal RNA". It matches the Rfam family "Bacterial small subunit ribosomal RNA", at positions 28 to 507 of the family's 1533-position model. The record is from RNAcentral.